RNAcentral lists this transfer RNA (82 nucleotides) under Oceanibacterium hippocampi. RNAcentral describes it as "tRNA-Arg". Lineage: Bacteria; Pseudomonadati; Pseudomonadota; Alphaproteobacteria; Sneathiellales; Sneathiellaceae. The record is from RNAcentral.
UCCUUGAGGCGAUCAUAGGCCGGCGUCGUCCGCUGCGGCCGGGCGCCGGGAAGCUCCUCGUUCGGGAACGAGAUCGAGAAGC